UACGGGGGGGGGCAAGCGUUGUUCGGAAUUACUGGGCGUAAAGGGCUCGUAGGCGGCCAACUAAGUCCGACGUGAAAUCCCAAGGCUUAACCUUGGAACUGCGUCGGAUACUGGAUGGCUUGAAUUCGGGAGAGGGAUGCAGAAUUCCAGGUGUAGCGGUGAAAUGCGUAGAUAUCUGGAGGAAUACCGGUGGCGAAGGCGGCAUCCUGGACCGACAUUGACGCUGAUGAGCGAAAAGCUAGGGGAGCAAACGGGG
Molecule: ribosomal RNA, 256 nt
Filed under: uncultured bacterium
Lineage: Bacteria
Description: partial 16S ribosomal RNA
Rfam family: Bacterial small subunit ribosomal RNA
Source: RNAcentral